AAGUGCUGAAAGCAUCUAAGCAUGAAGCCCCCCUCAAGAUGAGAUUUCCCAACUUCGGUUAUAAGAUCCCUCAAAGAUGAUGAGGUUAAUAGGUUCGAGGUGGAAGCGUAGCGAUACGUGGAGCUGACGAAUACUAAUCGAUCGAAGACUUAAUCAA
This 157-nucleotide ribosomal RNA is filed under the name Staphylococcus chromogenes. Its description in RNAcentral is "partial 23S ribosomal RNA". It matches the Rfam family "Bacterial large subunit ribosomal RNA", at positions 2766 to 2925 of the family's 2925-position model. Lineage: Bacteria; Bacillati; Bacillota; Bacilli; Caryophanales; Staphylococcaceae. The record is from RNAcentral.